Molecule: ribosomal RNA, 301 nt
Filed under: uncultured bacterium
Lineage: Bacteria
Description: partial 16S ribosomal RNA
Rfam family: Bacterial small subunit ribosomal RNA
Source: RNAcentral
CAGUCGCCGCGGUAAUACGUAGGUGGCAAGCGUUGUCCGGAAUUAUUGGGCGUAAAGGGAGCGCAGGCGGACAUAUAAGUCCAUCUUAAAAGUGCGGGGCUCAACCCCGUGAGGGGAUGGAAACUGUAUGCCUUGAGUGCAGGAGAGGAAAGCGGAAUUCCCAGUGUAGCGGUGAAAUGCGUAGAUAUUGGGAGGAACACCAGUGGCGAAGGCGGCUUUCCGGACUGUAACUGACGCUGAGGCUCGAAAGCCAGGGGAGCGAACGGGAUUAGAUACCCGGGUAGUCCCUGUCUCUUAUACA